UUGUAGUUCUGCUCUAUGGGUGUGGGGUUCUGACUAUCGCACACAAUUUGGUAAACUGAAAUCAACAUGUAAACAACGCAUGGACCAAAAUAGGUCUGGUCCAAGCCCUUUAGCUUACUUAUUCUAUCUUUAUGUCAUCUUGUGAAGAAUAUGGCAUUAUUUGUUCGUAAGAAAAUGAUUAUCGGAAGCAACAGGCUAAGCAACAUUGCUUAUCACAAGGAGAUUCG
Molecule: long non-coding RNA, 227 nt
Filed under: Manihot esculenta (cassava)
Lineage: Eukaryota; Viridiplantae; Streptophyta; Magnoliopsida; Malpighiales; Euphorbiaceae
Description: long non-coding RNA (MESC_LNC003899)
Source: RNAcentral